AACGAACGCUGGCGGCAGGCCUAACACAUGCAAGUCGAGCGAGACCUUCGGGUCUAGCGGCGGACGGGUUAGUAACGCGUGGGAACGUGCCCUUCUCUGCGGAAUAGCACUGGAAACGGUGAGUAAUACCGCAUACGCCCUUCGGGGGAAAGAUUUAUCGGAGAAGGAUCGGCCCGCGUUAGAUUAGAUAGUUGGUGGGUAACGGCCUACCAAGUCUACGAUCUAUAGCUGGUUUUAGAGGAUGAUCAGCAACACUGGGACUGAGACACGGCCCAGACUCCUACGGGAGGCAGCAGUGGGGAAUCUUAGACAAUGGGCGCAAGCCUGAUCUAGCCAUGCCGCGUGUGUGAUGAAGGUCUUAGGAUCGUAAAGCACUUUCGCCAGGGAUGAUAAUGACAGUACCUGGUAAAGAAACCCCGGCUAACUCCGUG
RNAcentral lists this ribosomal RNA (431 nucleotides) under uncultured bacterium. Its description in RNAcentral is "bacterial SSU rRNA". It matches the Rfam family "Bacterial small subunit ribosomal RNA", at positions 29 to 507 of the family's 1533-position model. The record is from RNAcentral.